This 1444-nucleotide long non-coding RNA is filed under the name Homo sapiens (human). RNAcentral describes it as "HSALNT0322957". The record is from RNAcentral. Lineage: Eukaryota; Metazoa; Chordata; Mammalia; Primates; Hominidae.
ACUCCCAGCAGCUAAGGUGACAAGCGUUUUUCGGUUCUGCCAGGGGAUCUGAGUGGCACACAACAACAUCCACUAUGAAAUGUGGUGUGUGCUGGGUGGGGGCUGACUGAGGAGCUCGAGAGUAGGAGUGAGGCAGGCUAUUUUAAAGAGGUGGCAAGGGAAGGCCUCUCUGAGCAAAGGCAGAGACUUUAGGCAAAGACUUGAUUGGUGUGAGGAAGUGAGCCAUUCAAAGUCAAGGGCACCAGAGGUUCUAAGCAGAGGAAACAGCAAAUGCAAAGCAGAGAACAAGCUUGGCACAUUUGAGAACCAACAAUAAGUCCAGUGUGUCUGGAGCCACAGGAGUCAAGGAGACAGCAGCUGGCAGUUCAGCCAAUGGGCUACCAGGAAACCAGAUGGCAGAGAGCCUGGUAGACCACGGUAGAAGCAUAUGGGAAACUGCAUUCCGAUCCAGGGAAGUAUAGGAAGCAGUAAUAAAAGUGGGAAGACCUAUUAUAAGUUCGUUGCAGUCAUCCAGGCCGUGACUGGGGACAUUUGGAUGGCCAGCAGAGCUGGAUUUAGAGGCAGAAGAGCUGGGCAGCUGUCCCAGUUACUCAUCUAUGAGGGGAGCUGAAAGAUCAUGAGAAUAAAUCAGAAAGAUGGUGCCAGUUAACCCCGCUUUCCACACAAGACUCUUGAUAUAAUUGGUGAAGUGGAAACUCCAGCCAAAGUACACUCCAUCCUCAAGCAAAACAUAAAACACACUCCUGAUGGAUACAGAAAGUUCUGGUGGCCUUAGAGCCUGAUUUGGUGCCAACCUGCCUGCGUUCAAAUCCAGGUUCCACUACUCACUGGAUGUGUGACCUUAGACAACUUCUUUCACCUCCUAGUGCUCUGUUCCCUUGGCUAUAAAAUAAAAAUUAUAAGAGUGCCAGUUUUGAACACUAAAUGGGCAUAAAGGAAACACUUAGACCCCAGACGGGCAUGUAGCAGGAACUUUAUAAUGGUUAGCUACUCAUUACCAUCUUUGUGAUGAGCUCAAGCAAGUUGCCUAAUGCCACUGGAGGCUGCACCCCUACCUGAGACAGCCACCUGAACAUUUCCUUAACGUGCAGCCUCUGAGAGCUGAAACUCUGAAAGGAAGUCCUGCAUAAUGAGCAUUUAUUAUGUUCAAGUAAUUAAUUUUCUCUCUUAAAAAUGUAACCCCCUUAGUACACCUCAAAAGAAAUCAUCUGACUUAGAAAAUACAAAAGACAUCUGAACAACAUCAAACAUUACAGAAAAGUUUUGCCCACGUGAAAGUCCCACUCCACCCCACCGCACCCCAAGAAAAGCAAAGCAAACAUAAAACCAACUUUUGAACAUUUUGAACAAGUGUUUGUAACCAUAUCGAUAUAUGCAUUACCUCUGUCCUGAGUGGAGAACUGGUGAUGGCUGCCUGCAGUAAAGGAGAAGAUGCUAGGGGAAG